CCUACGGGAGGCAGCAGUGAGGAAUAUUGGUCAAUGGUCGGGAGACUGAACCAGCCAAGCCGCGUGAGGGAUGAAGGUACAGAGUAUCGUAAACCUCUUUUGUCAGGGAACAAAGGCGGGGACGUGUCCCCGGAUGAGUGUACCUGAAGAAAAAGCAUCGGCUAACUCCGUGCCAGCAGCCGCGGUAAUCCGGAGGAUGCGAGCGUUAUCCGGAUUUAUUGGGUUUAAAGGGUGCGCAGGCGGUCUGUUAAGUCAGCGGUCAAAGCCCGGGGCUCAACCCCGGCCCGCCGUUGAAACUGGCAGGCUCGAGUGGGAGAGAAGUAUGCGGAAUGCGCGGUGUAGCGGUGAAAUGCAUAGAUAUCGCGCAGAACUCCGAUUGCGAAGGCAGCAUGCCGGCUCCACACUGACGCUGAGGCACGAAAGCGUGGGUAUCGAACAGGAUUAGAUACCCCGGUAGUC
Molecule: ribosomal RNA, 459 nt
Filed under: uncultured bacterium
Lineage: Bacteria
Description: partial 16S ribosomal RNA
Rfam family: Bacterial small subunit ribosomal RNA
Source: RNAcentral